CCUACGGGUGGCUGCAGUGGGGAAUUUUGGACAAUGGGGGCAACCCUGAUCCAGCCAUGCCGCGUGCGGGAAGAAGGCCUUCGGGUUGUAAACCGCUUUUGUCGGGGAAGAAAUCCUCUGGGCUAAUACCCCGGGGGGAUGACGGUACCCGGAGAAUAAGCACCGGCUAACUACGUGCCAGCAGCCGCGGUAAUACGUAGGGUGCAAGCGGUGCUCGGAAUUAGUGGGCGUGGCGCGUCAAGAAGCGGCUGAAAUCCCCGGGCUCAACCUGGGAACUGCAUUUGUGACUGCAUAGCUGGAGUGCGGCAGAGGGGGAUGGAAUUCCGCGUGUAGCAGUGAAAUGCGUAGAUAUGCGGAGGAACACCGAUGGCGAAGGCAAUCCCCUGGGCCUGCACUGACGCUCAUGCACGAAAGCGUGGGGAGCAAACAGGAUUAGAUACCCCAGUAGUC
This 450-nucleotide ribosomal RNA is filed under the name uncultured bacterium. RNAcentral describes it as "partial 16S ribosomal RNA". It matches the Rfam family "Bacterial small subunit ribosomal RNA", at positions 338 to 795 of the family's 1533-position model. The record is from RNAcentral.